RNAcentral lists this unclassified non-coding RNA (267 nucleotides) under plant metagenome. RNAcentral describes it as "partial contains small subunit ribosomal RNA, internal transcribed spacer 1, and 5.8S ribosomal RNA". The record is from RNAcentral.
UUUCCGUAGGUGAACCUGCGGAAGGAUCAUUAUCGUACAAAAUGUGAGGGGCAUGCGAGGGCUGUCGCUGACCCAAAAGUCGUGCACGCCCGAGUGUGUCCUCUUGCAUAAUAAUCCAUCUCACCCUUUGUGCAUCACCGCGUGGGCACCCUUCGGGAUCAUCUCGGAGGGGGGCUCGCGUUUUCACACAAACCCCCCUUCUAAAAGUGUAGGACGACCACAUUUAUGCAAUCAAUACAACUUUCAACAACGGAUCUCUUGGCUCUC